AGAGAGAGACAUGCGCGCAUAUCAAUAAGCGGAGGAAAAGAAACUAACAAGGAUUCCCCUAGUAACGGCGAGUGAAGCGGGAAGAGCUCAAGUUUGAAAUCUUAAAGGGUUUCCCUUUACGAAUUGUAGUUUGAAGAAGUGUUUUCUGUUGAGGUUUUGGUAAAAGUUCUUUGGAAUAGGACAUCAUAGAGGGUGAGAAUCCCGUAUUUGACCUUUACUUUCAACUUUGUGAUACACUUUCAAAGAGUCGGAUUGUUUGGGAAUGCAGUCCAAAAUGGGUGGUAAAUUUCAUCUAAAGCUAAAUAUUGGCGAGAGACCGAUAGCGAACAAGUACCGUGAGGGAAAGAUGAAAAGAACUUUGAAAAGAGAGUUAAACAGUACGUGAAAUUGUCAAAAGGGAAGCGUUUGACACCAGUGUUGUUUUUCUGAGAAUCAAUUAAAGAACUGUUUAUGCUAAGUUGUUUAGACUUUAUCAGCUAACUGUUUAGUUUUGAGCUUUUCUUUAAUGCACUUUUCAGUUAACAAGUCAACAUCAAUUUCUUUUGCUGUAAAAAAGCUUGAGGAAGGUGGCUUGAGAUUCGUCUUAAGUGUUUAUAGCCUCUUGCCUAUGCAGUCGGAGAGAUUGAGGUCUGCAGCGUAGAUCCUUCGGGGCUAAAUGCAUUUGUGCUAAGUUAUAGCAUUUUAUAGACAACUUGUUGACUAUGAUUUGUCUUGUAGCUUACUCGCUUAUGUUAUUUUACCUACGCUUAGGAUGUUGAGCGCAUGUCUCUCUCU
RNAcentral lists this ribosomal RNA (774 nucleotides) under uncultured Neocallimastigales. RNAcentral describes it as "partial large subunit ribosomal RNA". It matches the Rfam family "Eukaryotic large subunit ribosomal RNA", at positions 23 to 616 of the family's 3401-position model. Lineage: Eukaryota; Fungi; Neocallimastigomycota; Neocallimastigomycetes; Neocallimastigales. The record is from RNAcentral.